This 432-nucleotide ribosomal RNA is filed under the name Triticum aestivum (bread wheat). RNAcentral describes it as "partial small subunit ribosomal RNA". Lineage: Eukaryota; Viridiplantae; Streptophyta; Magnoliopsida; Poales; Poaceae. The record is from RNAcentral.
CUGCAGUUUGCAGACGUGCUUACCUUCGGCUCCGGCAGCGGCGGCCUCGUCCCGCGCACCUCCUCUGACACGGCGGCCUUCGCGGGCGGGCGCAUCGACUGGAAGGAGACCCCCGAGGCGCACGUGUUCAAGGCCGACGUGCCGGGGCUGAGGAAGGAGGAGGUGAAGGUGGAGGUGGAGGACGGCAACGUGCUCUGGAUCAGCGGCGAGCAGAGCAAGGAGCAGGAGGAGAAGACGGACACCUGGCACCGCGUCGAGCGCAGCAGCGGCAGGUUCCGGCUCCCGGACGACGCCAGGGUGGAGCAGGUCAGGGCGUCCAUGGAGAACGGCGUGCUCACCGUCACCGUGCCCAAGAAGCCCGAGGUCAAGUCCAUCCAGAUCUGCUGCUCCGUCCAUGGGAAAUUAUUUCAUCGAGUCCGGCCGUGUGUGUAG